Molecule: ribosomal RNA, 345 nt
Filed under: Candoia carinata
Lineage: Eukaryota; Metazoa; Chordata; Lepidosauria; Squamata; Candoiidae
Description: partial 12S ribosomal RNA
Source: RNAcentral
AAACAACUACGAGUGAAAACUUAAAACUUAAAAGACUUGACGGUACUUCACACCCAACCUAGAGGAGCCUGUCUAAUAACCGAUAAUCCACGAUUAACCCAACCACCUCUGGCCCCCCAGCCUAUAUACCGCCGUCGCCAGCCCACCUUGUGAAAGAAAACAAGUGGACAAAAUAGUACCACACUAAUACGACAGGUCGAGGUGUAGCCAAUGAAGUGGGUCAAGAUGGGCUACAUUUUCUAACUUAGACUAAACGAACAAAGCAAUGAAAUAAACUUUCAAAGGCGGAUUUAGCAGUAAGAUGAGAACAUAAUACUCAACUGAAAUAAAUGCAAUGAAGUGCGC